RNAcentral lists this ribosomal RNA (492 nucleotides) under uncultured bacterium. RNAcentral's name for it is "partial 16S ribosomal RNA". It matches the Rfam family "Bacterial small subunit ribosomal RNA", at positions 29 to 507 of the family's 1533-position model. The record is from RNAcentral.
AGUGAACGCUGGCGGUAGGCCUAACACAUGCAAGUCGAACGGCAGCACAGUAAGAGCUUGCUCUUACGGGUGGCGAGUGGCGGACGGGUGAGGAAUACAUCGGAAUCUACUUUUUCGUGGGGGAUAACGUAGGGAAACUUACGCUAAUACCGCAUACGACCUACGGGUGAAAGCAGGAGAUCUUCGGACCUUGCGCGAUUGAAUGAGCCGAUGUCGGAUUAGCUAGUUGGCGGGGUAAAGGCCCACCAAGGCGACGAUCCGUAGCUGGUCUGAGAGGAUGAUCAGCCACACUGGAACUGAGACACGGUCCAGACUCCUACGGGAGGCAGCAGUGGGGAAUAUUGGACAAUGGGCGCAAGCCUGAUCCAGCCAUACCGCGUGAGUGAAGAAGGCCUUCGGGUUGUAAAGCCCUUUUGUUGGGAAAGAAAAGCAGCAGGUUAAUACCCCGCUGUUCUGACGGUACCCAAAGAAUAAGCACCGGCUAACUUCGUG